CAGCCGCCGCGGUAAUACGGAGGGGGCUAGCGUUGUUCGGAAUUACUGGGCGUAAAGCGCACGUAGGCGGCUAUUCAAGUCAGAGGUGAAAGCCCGGGGCUCAACCCCGGAACUGCCUUUGAAACUAGAUAGCUAGAAUCACGGAGAGGUAAGUGGAAUUCCGAGUGUAGAGGUGAAAUUCGUAGAUAUUCGGAAGAACACCAGUGGCGAAGGCGGCUUACUGGACGUGAAUUGACGCUGAGGUGCGAAAGCGUGGGGAGCAAACAGGAUUAGAUACCCCGGUAGUCCCUGUCUCUUAUAC
RNAcentral lists this ribosomal RNA (301 nucleotides) under uncultured bacterium. Its description in RNAcentral is "partial 16S ribosomal RNA". It matches the Rfam family "Bacterial small subunit ribosomal RNA", at positions 509 to 807 of the family's 1533-position model. The record is from RNAcentral.